This 432-nucleotide RNase P RNA is filed under the name Thioclava sp. SK-1. Its description in RNAcentral is "Bacterial RNase P class A". It matches the Rfam family "Bacterial RNase P class A". Rfam says of the family: Ribonuclease P (RNase P) is a ubiquitous endoribonuclease, found in archaea, bacteria and eukarya as well as chloroplasts and mitochondria. Its best characterised activity is the generation of mature 5'-ends of tRNAs by cleaving the 5'-leader elements of precursor-tRNAs. The record is from Rfam by way of RNAcentral. Lineage: Bacteria; Pseudomonadati; Pseudomonadota; Alphaproteobacteria; Rhodobacterales; Paracoccaceae.
GCGGAUGGCUGGAUGACCGCGGUGCCCCGUAGCUCUGCCUCAAAGCAGAUAGCCGGAUCACCGAGGAAAGUCCGGACUCCAUGAAGUAACGGUGCCGGGUAACGCCCGGCGGGGGCAACCCCAGGGAAAGCGCCACAGAAAACAAACCGCCCCGUGGAUGGCCCGUUGGCCGUCACACACACGCGGGUCAGGGUGAAACGGUGGGGUAAGAGCCCACCGCGGGACUGGCAACAGGACCGGCACGGCAAGCCCCACCGGGAGCAACGCCGAAUAGGGAUCGCGUGCUUGUGGGCAACCACAUAGCAGGGGAACUUCGCCCCGAGCGGUCCGGGUUGGCAGCUAGACCCUACAGGCAACUGUAGGGCCAGAGGAAUGGUCAUCCAAAGGGGGCAGCCCCUUGGACAAAAUCCGGCUUAUAGGCCGUCCGCGCAU